RNAcentral lists this ribosomal RNA (253 nucleotides) under uncultured bacterium. RNAcentral describes it as "partial 16S ribosomal RNA". It matches the Rfam family "Bacterial small subunit ribosomal RNA", at positions 524 to 776 of the family's 1533-position model. The record is from RNAcentral.
UACGAAGGGGGCUAGCGUUGUUCGGAAUCACUGGGCGUAAAGCGCGCGUAGGCGGUCUAGCAAGUCAGAGGUGAAAUGCCGGGGCUCAACCCCGGAACUGCCUUUGAAACUGCUAGACUGGAGUCUCGGAGGGGGUAGUGGAAUUCCUAGUGUAGAGGUGAAAUUCGUAGAUACUAGGAGGAACACCGGUGGCGAAGGCGGCUACCUGGACGAGUACUGACGCUGAGGUGCGAAAGCGUGGGGAGCAAACAGG